CCUACGGGAGGCAGCAGUGAGGAAUAUUGGUCAAUGGACGAAAGUCUGAACCAGCCAAGUCGCGUGAAGGAUGACUGCCCUAUGGGUUGUAAACUUCUUUUAUAUGGGAAUAAAAUGUUCCACGUGUGGGAUUUUGUAUGUACCAUAUGAAUAAGGAUCGGCUAACUCCGUGCCAGCAGCCGCGGUAAUACGGAGGAUCCGAGCGUUAUCCGGAUUUAUUGGGUGUAAAGGGAGCGUAGGUGGAUUGUUAAGUCAGUUGUGAAAGUUUGCGGCUCAACCGUAAAAUUGCAGUUGAAACUGGCAGUCUUGAGUACAGUAGAGGUGGGCGGAAUUCGUGGUGUAGCGGUGAAAUGCUUAGAUAUCACGAAGAACUCCGAUGGCGAAGGCAGCUGACUGGACUGCAACUGACACUGAGGCUCGAAAGUGUGGGGAGCAAACAGGAUUAGAUACCCUUGUAGUC
RNAcentral lists this ribosomal RNA (460 nucleotides) under uncultured bacterium. RNAcentral's name for it is "partial 16S ribosomal RNA". It matches the Rfam family "Bacterial small subunit ribosomal RNA", at positions 338 to 795 of the family's 1533-position model. The record is from RNAcentral.